GGCCUCGAAGUUGCACAAUCUCUUACUCUAUAGACUCUGGACAUUCACGGAUAAAGUGAUCUAAGGAUCCACAUCUAAAGCAAGCUCGGUCAUUCAAUCUACAACUUCCCGGAUCUCUUUUACCAUAGUGUCUACACUUGAGUCGAUCGUAUCAGACAUUUCCAACACUUGCAACAGAAGUAACUGGAGCUCUGAAGCUCGAAUGUAAUCUAGUACGAUCUCUAAUUGAAUAUCCCAC
Molecule: long non-coding RNA, 238 nt
Filed under: Gossypium barbadense (sea-island cotton)
Lineage: Eukaryota; Viridiplantae; Streptophyta; Magnoliopsida; Malvales; Malvaceae
Description: long non-coding RNA (GBAR_LNC002114)
Source: RNAcentral